This 358-nucleotide ribosomal RNA is filed under the name Cryptosporidium parvum. Its description in RNAcentral is "SSU rRNA". It matches the Rfam family "Eukaryotic small subunit ribosomal RNA", at positions 633 to 1017 of the family's 1831-position model. Lineage: Eukaryota; Apicomplexa; Conoidasida; Eucoccidiorida; Cryptosporidiidae. The record is from RNAcentral.
GUUGGAUUUCUGUUAAUAAUUUAUAUAAAAUAUUUUGAUGAAUAUUUAUAUAAUAUUAACAUAAUUCAUAUUACUAUAUAUUUUAGUAUAUGAAAUUUUACUUUGAGAAAAUUAGAGUGCUUAAAGCAGGCAUAUGCCUUGAAUACUCCAGCAUGGAAUAAUAUUAAAGAUUUUUAUCUUUCUUAUUGGUUCUAAGAUAAGAAUAAUGAUUAAUAGGGACAGUUGGGGGCAUUUGUAUUUAACAGUCAGAGGUGAAAUUCUUAGAUUUGUUAAAGACAAACUAAUGCGAAAGCAUUUGCCAAGGAUGUUUUCAUUAAUCAAGAACGAAAGUUAGGGGAUCGAAGACGAUCAGAUACCG